AAUAUCAGUCAUGCAUAGCAUAUCAAUAAGCGGAGGAAAAGAAACUAACAAGGAUUCCCUUAGUAACGGCGAGUGAAGCGGGAAGAGCUCAAAUUUGAAAUCUUCAAGGUUCUACCUUGACGAAUUGUAGUUUAUAGAAGUGUUUUCUGUUAGUGGAGUGGCAAAAGUUCUUUGGAAUAGGACAUCAUAGAGGGUGAGAAUCCCGUAUUUGGUCAUUCCUCCUAGCGUUGUGAUACACUUUCAACGAGUCGGAUUGUUUGGGAAUGCAGUCCAAAAUGGGUGGUAAAUUUCAUCUAAAGCUAAAUAUUGGCGAGAGACCGAUAGCGAACAAGUACCGUGAGGGAAAGAUGAAAAGAACUUUGAAAAGAGAGUUAAACAGUACGUGAAAUUGUCAAAAGGGAAGCGUUUGACACCAGUGUUGUUUUUCCGAAAAUCAAUUACGAAUGUUUUGUUUUUAAGAAGUUAUGACUUCAUCGGCUUGCUUCUUUCUUUACGAAACUUUCUUAAUGCACUUUUCGGUUAACAAGUCAACAUCAAUUUCUUUUGUUGUAAAAGGGUAUGAGGAAGGAGGCUUUCUUUUCGGAGAAAGUGUUUAUAGCCUUGUGCCUCUGCAAUCGGAGAGAUUGAGGUCUGCAGCGUAGAUCCUUCGGGGUUAGAUACAUUUGUGCUAGUUAUAGCUUUUCAUAGACAACUUGUUGACUAUGUUUAGUCUUGUAGCUUACUCGCUUACUGCUAUUUUACCUACGCUUAGGAUGUUGAUCUCUCACAGUCGAGC
This 775-nucleotide ribosomal RNA is filed under the name uncultured Neocallimastigales. Its description in RNAcentral is "partial large subunit ribosomal RNA". It matches the Rfam family "Eukaryotic large subunit ribosomal RNA", at positions 20 to 645 of the family's 3401-position model. Lineage: Eukaryota; Fungi; Neocallimastigomycota; Neocallimastigomycetes; Neocallimastigales. The record is from RNAcentral.